RNAcentral lists this ribosomal RNA (137 nucleotides) under Sinocyclocheilus rhinocerous. The record is from RNAcentral. Lineage: Eukaryota; Metazoa; Chordata; Actinopteri; Cypriniformes; Cyprinidae.
CCCUGCACUGAUAUCUUGAAUAGAAACUUACAGACACUUUGUAGCCCAAGACUGGUUGCCCACUGAAGCUAAGCAGGGUUGAGCCUGGUCAGUACCUGGAUGGGAAACCUCCUGGGAAAACGAUGUUGCUGCUGGAA